RNAcentral lists this ribosomal RNA (253 nucleotides) under uncultured bacterium. RNAcentral describes it as "partial 16S ribosomal RNA". It matches the Rfam family "Bacterial small subunit ribosomal RNA", at positions 524 to 776 of the family's 1533-position model. The record is from RNAcentral.
UACGAAGGGGGCUAGCGUUGCUCGGAAUUACUGGGCGUAAAGCGCACGUAGGCGGCUUUCUAAGUCGGAGGUGAAAUCCUGGAGCUCAACUCCAGAACUGCCUUCGAUACUGGAGAGCUUGAGUCCGGGAGAGGUGAGUGGAACUGCGAGUGUAGAGGUGAAAUUCGUAGAUAUUCGCAAGAACACCAGUGGCGAAGGCGGCUCACUGGCCCGGUACUGACGCUGAGGUGCGAAAGCGUGGGGAGCGAACAGG